UGUAGCGUGCACAGAGACACCACAGGCGCCUGCCUGGUUCUCCCUCUCUUGCUCUGCUGCAGGUGGGAUCGAGGAGGCAGGAGCAGCCGCCCCUCUCGUCCCUGUCUUAGCCCAGCCGGUUGCGUCUGCAUGGGGCUGGGCAUUCCACCCACUCGUCAGUCCUCGCCGCGAGCCCUUCCUCAUCCCAAGGCCCCAUCCCAUUGGACCUGUCGUCUGGGAGCCACUGAACGUGUGACACCUCACACAGGGAUCGGAGAGCAGGAGCCCCGGAGGCCAGUCAGAGAUGGGUAUGAAGGACAGGCCCUCUGUCUUAAUGACUGACUGACUCACGGACAUGGCUUUCAACAACAUGGUCGGUCCUAGAGGAAGAAAUGAUGCUCUAGCAGUCACACAACCCAACACACGUCUGUUCACAGGUAGCCAUGUAAACCCCAUUGGAGAUGUAGGUUUGAAGAGAAGCAGAGGAAAUCCUCCACCCAACCCAGAGAAGCCCUCUCCAGGUCAGCAGCAACAUUGGAGUACCCUACUACC
Long non-coding RNA from Salvelinus sp. IW2-2015, 531 nucleotides. RefSeq lists it as uncharacterized. The transcript is spliced from 3 exons. NCBI's taxonomy places the organism in Eukaryota, Metazoa, Chordata, Actinopteri, Salmoniformes, Salmonidae. The record is from RefSeq and is a predicted model, not a curated record.